Molecule: ribosomal RNA, 834 nt
Filed under: Vibrio splendidus
Lineage: Bacteria; Pseudomonadati; Pseudomonadota; Gammaproteobacteria; Vibrionales; Vibrionaceae
Description: bacterial SSU rRNA
Rfam family: Bacterial small subunit ribosomal RNA
Source: RNAcentral
ACGGGAGGCAGCAGUGGGGAAUAUUGCACAAUGGGCGAAAGCCUGAUGCAGCCAUGCCGCGUGUAUGAAGAAGGCCUUCGGGUUGUAAAGUACUUUCAGUUGUGAGGAAGGGGGUAACGUUAAUAGCGUUAUCUCUUGACGUUAGCAACAGAAGAAGCACCGGCUAACUCCGUGCCAGCAGCCGCGGUAAUACGGAGGGUGCGAGCGUUAAUCGGAAUUACUGGGCGUAAAGCGCAUGCAGGUGGUUCAUUAAGUCAGAUGUGAAAGCCCGGGGCUCAACCUCGGAACUGCAUUUGAAACUGGUGAACUAGAGUGCUGUAGAGGGGGGUAGAAUUUCAGGUGUAGCGGUGAAAUGCGUAGAGAUCUGAAGGAAUACCAGUGGCGAAGGCGGCCCCCUGGACAGACACUGACACUCAGAUGCGAAAGCGUGGGGAGCAAACAGGAUUAGAUACCCUGGUAGUCCACGCCGUAAACGAUGUCUACUUGGAGGUUGUGGCCUUGAGCCGUGGCUUUCGGAGCUAACGCGUUAAGUAGACCGCCUGGGGAGUACGGUCGCAAGAUUAAAACUCAAAUGAAUUGACGGGGGCCCGCACAAGCGGUGGAGCAUGUGGUUUAAUUCGAUGCAACGCGAAGAACCUUACCUACUCUUGACAUCCAGAGAAGCCAGCGGAGACGCAGGUGUGCCUUCGGGAACUCUGAGACAGGUGCUGCAUGGCUGUCGUCAGCUCGUGUUGUGAAAUGUUGGGUUAAGUCCCGCAACGAGCGCAACCCUUAUCCUUGUUUGCCAGCGAGUAAUGUCGGGAACUCCAGGGAGACUGCCGGUGAUAAACCGGA